UGGGGAAUAUUGCACAAUGGGCGCAAGCCUGAUGCAGCCAUGCCGCGUGUGUGAAGAAGGCCUUCGGGUUGUAAAGCACUUUCAGCGAGGAGGAAGGUGGUGAACUUAAUACGUUCAUCAAUUGACGUUACUCGCAGAAGAAGCACCGGCUAACUCCGUGCCAGCAGCAGCGGUAAUACGGAGGGUGCAAGCGUUAAUCGGAAUUACUGGGCGUAAAGCGCACGCAGGCGGUUUGUUAAGUCAGAUGUGAAAUCCCCGGGCUCAACCUGGGAACUGCAUUUGAAAACUGGCAAGCUAGAGUCUCGUAGAGGGGGGUAGAAUUCCAGGUGUAGCGGUGAAAUGCGUAGAGAUCUGGAGGAAUACCGGUGGCGAAGGCGGCCCCCCUGGACGAAGACUGACGCUCAGGUGCGAAAGCGUGGGGAGCAAACAGGAUUAGAUACCCUGGUAGUCCACGCUGUAAAACGAUGUCGAUUUU
This 475-nucleotide ribosomal RNA is filed under the name uncultured bacterium. Its description in RNAcentral is "partial 16S ribosomal RNA". It matches the Rfam family "Bacterial small subunit ribosomal RNA", at positions 355 to 819 of the family's 1533-position model. The record is from RNAcentral.